Molecule: ribosomal RNA, 810 nt
Filed under: Enterococcus faecium
Lineage: Bacteria; Bacillati; Bacillota; Bacilli; Lactobacillales; Enterococcaceae
Description: bacterial LSU rRNA
Rfam family: Bacterial large subunit ribosomal RNA
Source: RNAcentral
GAUAAGGUUAAGUGAAUAAGGGCGCACGGUGGAUGCCUUGGCACUAGGAGCCGAUGAAGGACGGGACUAACACCGAUAUGCUUUGGGGAGCUGUACGUAAGCUAUGAUCCAGAGAUUUCCGAAUGGGGGAACCCAACAUCUUUAAUAGGAUGUUACGAUUGUGUGAAUACAUAGCACAUUCGAGGUAGACGCAGAGAACUGAAACAUCUAAGUACCUGCAGGAAGAGAAAGAAAAUUCGAUUCCCUGAGUAGCGGCGAGCGAAACGGGAAAAGCCCAAACCAGCAAGCUUGCUUGUUGGGGUUGUAGGACUCCAAUAUGGUAGUUCUUUCAGAUAGUCGAAUGACUUGGAAAAGUCAGUCAAAGAGGGUAAAAACCCCGUAGACGAAAUGUGGAAGACACCUAGGAGGAUCCUGAGUACGGCGGAACACGAGAAAUUCCGUCGGAAUCCGGGAGGACCAUCUCCCAAGGCUAAAUACUCCCUAGUGACCGAUAGUGAACCAGUACCGUGAGGGAAAGGUGAAAAGCACCCCGGAAGGGGAGUGAAAUAGAACCUGAAACCGUGUGCCUACAACAAGUCAAAGCCCGUUAAUGGGUGAUGGCGUGCCUUUUGUAGAAUGAACCGGCGAGUUACGAUUGCAUGCGAGGUUAAGUUGAAGAGACGGAGCCGCAGCGAAAGCGAGUCUGAAUAGGGCGUUUGAGUAUGUAGUCGUAGACCCGAAACCAUGUGAUCUACCCAUGUCCAGGUUGAAGGUGCGGUAAAACGCACUGGAGGACCGAACCCACGUACGUUGAAAAGUGCGGGGAUGAGG